ACUCUACCAUCCUUGUCCUUGAUGCACCUAACUUGGACAAGAUCACGCGCCUUCCGUUCCCUUGCUUUAGCUAACCGGAAUAACUUCAUGUCCCCGCCUUUCUCCCAUAAUUCCUCGUACAUGCGACCAAAUGCCGCGUUUUUGACUUCCGUAACCGUCAUUUUUGCUUCUUUCCGCGCCGCCUUGUAAUCUCCCUGUUCGUUCUCCGUUCUUCCUCGCUCGUGCUCCCUGUCAUCUUUGCAAACGCCGCCUUCUUCACCUCCACUUUUCCUUGGACUGCCUCGUUCCA
RNAcentral lists this long non-coding RNA (289 nucleotides) under Nicotiana benthamiana. Its description in RNAcentral is "long non-coding RNA (NBEN_LNC022595)". Lineage: Eukaryota; Viridiplantae; Streptophyta; Magnoliopsida; Solanales; Solanaceae. The record is from RNAcentral.